GUCCCCACUUUGGCAGCACAUACUAGAACCAGAACAAUACAGAGAUUAUCAUGGCCCCCGAUUAAGGAUGAUAUGCUAAUUUGUGAAAUGUUCCAUACUUUA
This is a small nuclear RNA of Peromyscus maniculatus bairdii (prairie deer mouse), 102 nucleotides long. The record is from Ensembl. NCBI's taxonomy places the organism in Eukaryota, Metazoa, Chordata, Mammalia, Rodentia, Cricetidae.